This is a long non-coding RNA of Mus musculus (house mouse), 3296 nucleotides long. RefSeq annotates it as predicted gene, 39615. The record is from RefSeq and is a predicted model, not a curated record. NCBI's taxonomy places the organism in Eukaryota, Metazoa, Chordata, Mammalia, Rodentia, Muridae. The transcript has 3 exons.
CCCGGCUUAGGAAGAUUUCCAGGCAAGGCAAGAAUCCUUGUUAGUCAUUAACUCUAAGUGAGAGCUAAGAAGGAAGACUUUAGAGAGAUUAUGGUGUGCAAGUGGCAGAAGGGGAAGAGGAAACAACAGGGGGAUGACUCUGUGUGAGUUAGGAGUAGCGAGAUCUAGGUAGUGACUAAUUCCACUUAGAAUGAGCAGAGAAAGCAUUGAGCCUGGGAAGAAAAUCAUAACUCAAUUCAACAGAAACCGCUUCCAUUGAGGCAGGAAGGUGCCAUUGAAUCUUCAGGAGUUGGAGUUGCAGUCAUUUGAGAGUCACCUUAUGUGAUUGUUGAGAUGUGAUCUCAGAUCAUCUGGAAGAGCAAAUGGAAGCUGCAGAAGAACAGGACCCCCACCCUGCUGUGAAGAGCUGUGUGCUCAGGAUUUGGAUGCAACAAAUGGCAGGAAUUAUUGCCCAACGAUUAUGUAAUAAAGGAAUAAGUUAAAGUGAUGGGUCUUAAUAAAAAAUAAUAAGAGAAUAAUAAUGGUAGAAUACUUUCUUUAAAAUGUUGCAAAUAUGAAAGAAAUUAACGUGAGAUUUUCACCACAAGCCUGACUAAAUAGAGAUUAACACUGAGACAGGGAAUGUAGCUUUCAAGGAAGGCCAGGAGCUCACUGGGCCCAAUGAGUUGUCUAUCUCAGUCACAGUGUGGUUACAUGGGUUUAUACUCACGCAAAAAUUCACAGAAUACUUGAGAUCAAUGAGCUUUCCUGUAUUUAAUUUUUAACUUAACUAUUUUCUUAAAAAAAAUAAAGACUUGAUCUAGUUUGUAUUAAAUUUCAAUAACUUUGUGAGUUGUAAGAAUAAAAAGACUUAUUCCAAAUUUGAUUGCCUAUUGAAUCUUAUUUUUGAAAUAUUACCUAAGGAUUAUUUUGAAUACAUGUUUGCACUAAAGUUAGAAAACAUGCCUUAUUAUAAAAUAAGAAUUAGUUGAUAUUGUGAAAAUUAUUGGAGAGGCAUGGUUUUUCCUUCCUGAGUAUAUGUAAUUGCUAAAUAAGACUUUUGUUCGUGGGGAUUAGAUAUUAAUUUGAAAUACUAUAUCAAUCCUCACGGCAAUAGUUAUUCUGCUGAGACACACUACCCCAGCUAUAUGAAACAUUUCCAGCUUUAUUGGAUUUGUACUUGCCUGUUCUUACUAUUUGGGUAUCAUGCUAAAUUACAUGAUCAAAUUAGCACCUAAUUUAAGUAGAGUUUCUAAAUAGGAAUCUAGUAUCUUGUAAUAUCUUAAUCAGGGACUGUAUGUUUUAUAAGGAGUAAUUAAGCCUUUUUGUGCUGCAGUGGUAGUAAUCUUAUUCCAUUAGAUCCUGAAAGUUUAGGAUUAAUUCAACAGUGUUAGAAGAAAUCUCAAUUCUGGCCAAGCAGGCUGCUAUUUCUGUGCAUAAUUUGAGAAGCUGGAUGCUCUCCAGUCUAGAAAUAUAUGCUGAUUGUUUAUAGCUUUCCAUACGAAUCUGUCUUCAGUGCUUGAAACAUCUGAGGAGGGAAAUUAAAAAUUCUCCUUGUACAUCAAGUACUGCUUCAUUACCAUCUUCUUGUUGUUUUUUUCUAGAAGAAAAUUUUUUUUGAUACAUUGAUGCCAUUUAUGUAUUUAUCCAUGUAUUCAAAGAAAUAGUUCCAAGGUCCAGGGGAUGCAAUGUAGCUCAGAGGUAGACAACUUGCCUAGUAUGUGAAAGAUUUUGGGUUCAAUUCCUAGCAUCCUGACAUGAGUUAGGCUGGCCUUUAGGGUAGGAAGACACAGAAACUAUGUUGCUACCUUGCCAAGAUAUUAGUAUAAAAUAGAAGGUCUUAAAAUUAGUUUUAUAUCAGAAUGCCUAUGGAUAAUUCAGGCCAGUUAAAGAAAGUUAGGGAAUAGGAAGUGACAUUUGCCUACAAUCUUAAGAUGGUGGUAAUAUAUUUUUCAUGGCUGGGCUUCUACUCAUCCACCAUGUUUCUGUCACAGGAGGCUAAACUUUUAGGUUGAAUAGGUCUCUUCAACUUUUUUAUAGGUUUUCUUUAGAAAGUCUUUGGUUAAUUUCAUACGUGAUUACAGUGUCUUAUCCACUCCUGUUUUUCCUUAUAACUUUUCUAAGAUUCUCCUACAUUCCUCUUCCAAUGUUGUCAUCCCUUCUUAUUCUUUCUUUUCUUCCUCUUUUCCUCUUCUCUUCUUCCUCUUCCUCCUCCUCUUCUUUUUCUUCAAACAAUAACCCCUGAGUCUAACUGAUGCUGCUUUUUUUUGUACACUGGUAUUGGGCAAAACCCACUGGAACAUGGGAAACUACCCCAGAAUACAAACUCUCCUGUUAAAAGUAGCUAUCAACUACCAGUACCUUCACAGUAAGCUGCAAGACCCUUUUUGCUCUGUGCUGAAAUAUUGACUAGCUUGGUUUUGCGUAGGUCUUAUGCCAACAACCACAUCUGCUAUGAGUUCAUGAGCACAAUUACCUUGUUAUGUUUAAAAGAUAUUAUUUUGCAGCAAUUAUUUCUGACAUUUGAUUCUUACAGUCUUCUCACCCCUACUUCUUCAGUGUUCCCUGAGCCUUGGAGGUGCGGGCAUGUGAUAGCCCAUUAAGUGGUUGAACAUUCUCUAAUCACUUAUACUCUGUAUUUUGACCAGUUGUGAUUCUCCCUAUAUAGGAACUUUCUUGAUGAAGGAUGAAAGUAGGAUAUAAGGAUAAUUAUUUAGAAGGUUUGAUACUAUCAUUUUCUUUACUAGUAAUAUGAGUAGAACCUAUAACCACCAAAGCCAUGGUUUUUUGUCCAGUUUUACAGUACCAGGAUACUCUCUUGUGGAAUGGGCCUAAUGUCCAGUUGGAAAGCUCUUGGCACUGCUCAUGGCAUUCACUCCACUCUUGCACAAACAGGCAUAUCUUGUUGGGCUAGUCAUUAUUGCACACGCAUAGGCACACACAUACACACACACACACACACACACACACACACACACAAACAUACACUCAUGCACACAUGCACACUUAGGCAAAGGAACUGAAUAUAUAUUUCUCCAAAGAAGAUAUGUAAGUGGCCAGCUAACCUAGCAAAGGUAUUUAAUAUCAUUAAUCAAUAUGGAAAUGCCAAUUAACAGUACAAUGAAUAUAAUUUCAUAUAAUUUACAGCUGGGUAAUAAUGCUGUUUGAUUUUCUUCCCCGGGAACUUCAGAACACCCUCUGGUACUGUGUGAGGUAGUCAUCAGGAUGUGUUUUUAUUUGAGCACCAGAUUUAUUUCUCCAUGUUUUGUGAUCAAAAUGUGUAGUCUCUUCAGCAGUAGGGUCUUACUAUCAUGUUC